GCUAGUCACAUAACAAAAUUUUGGCAAAAUGAGAGAAAGGAGAAGACAAAUCUUCUUAAUGAAGAAGGAGUUGAACAAAUAGGAAUUCUAAUGAUGGAAAGAAGCCCAAGUGUCGAGCUUUUGAGUCUGAGCCUGGAUGUUAGGUUUCCAAGCUGAAAGAGCCUAGGUGUCAGGUUGGAGAGCGAUUGUCGAGCUGCAAAACCGGGUUUUCGAUUUACAAGAUUGGGUUUUCGAGCUCAAUUCAAGUUGUUUCAGGGCUGUGCUGAGCUGGUUUUAGGUUAAUGUUGAGCUAAUUAAUGCCAAGUUAAUUGAUGCUGAGUUGAAUCAAAGUGAGAGACCAGAAGUCGGGAACAAAGAGAACUCGGGAAGCUCGCUGAGUAGUAAGGAGAAGACAAUAACAUAGCUGAGUAGCGUGGGGAGCCUAACAUUGUGGAUGGAGAGCUUGGCAUUGUGCGUGGAGAUAUCAGACGAUAAGUAGUUGGAGAGCCCGGCGAGCCAGGAAAGCAUGAACGAAGCUCAGACGAGCAACUAGAGAGCUUGGCUUGCUUGGUUUAGUGACUAUGUAUGAAUGAAUAGGCCUUAUUUCCCAACCAAGAGGGUAGGAGGGUGAAUUUGUUGUUAUAAAAAUUAUGUUCUUUUAAAAACCUUUGAAAAUGUUCUUCACUUUCUUGAAACACAAAAAAUAAAGAUUAUAAUGCAAUAAAAGAGAUAAGGGAUAGAAAGACAAACACCAAGAUUUUUAUAUUGGUUCAGUCUCAAGGCCUAAAUCCAGUCCCUUUCAAUGAACUUGAGAUUGAAAGCCUCUUAACUAUAAAGAUUGAGUUACACAAUAAGACUUACAGAGACCCUCUCUCAAUGUAAUAUCCUCUCCAACUCAAAAUCUAAUAUAGAAUAAUACAACACAGAAAGAACAAUCCUCCUUUCGCAAAAACCCUUUGAGACACCUCUCAAAGAACCCAAAACCUUACGUUCUCUUCCUGGCCACCGACAACAGGGAAACCACAAUCUUCAGAUUGUAAAAUCAACAAUACUUAUCAGGUACAGAUCACCUCAAAGUGAGGAUGAUGACCAACCAAAGAAAGAACAUAGAAAUUCCUCCAAGAAUCCUUAAAAUC
Molecule: long non-coding RNA, 1115 nt
Filed under: Vigna radiata
Lineage: Eukaryota; Viridiplantae; Streptophyta; Magnoliopsida; Fabales; Fabaceae
Description: long non-coding RNA (VRAD_LNC017381)
Source: RNAcentral